GAUGAACGCUGGCGGCGUGCCUAAUACAUGCAAGUCGAGCGAACAGACGAGGAGCUUGCUCCUCUGACGUUAGCGGCGGACGGGUGAGUAACACGUGGAUAACCUACCUAUAAGACUGGGAUAACUUCGGGAAACCGGAGCUAAUACCGGAUAAUAUAUUGAACCGCAUGGUUCAAUAGUGAAAGACGGUUUUGCUGUCACUUAUAGAUGGAUCCGCGCCGCAUUAGCUAGUUGGUAAGGUAACGGCUUACCAAGGCAACGAUGCGUAGCCGACCUGAGAGGGUGAUCGGACACACUGGAACUGAGACACGGUCCAGACUCCUACGGGAGGCAGCAGUAGGGAAUCUUCCGCAAUGGGCGAAAGCCUGACGGAGCAACGCCGCGUGAGUGAUGAAGGUCUUCGGAUCGUAAAACUCUGUUAUUAGGGAAGAACAAAUGUGUAAGUAACUAUGAACGUCUGGACGGUACCUAAUCAGAAAGCCACGGCUAACUACGU
This 496-nucleotide ribosomal RNA is filed under the name uncultured bacterium. Its description in RNAcentral is "partial 16S ribosomal RNA". It matches the Rfam family "Bacterial small subunit ribosomal RNA", at positions 28 to 506 of the family's 1533-position model. The record is from RNAcentral.